Long non-coding RNA from Bactrocera neohumeralis, 531 nucleotides. RefSeq lists it as uncharacterized. NCBI's taxonomy places the organism in Eukaryota, Metazoa, Arthropoda, Insecta, Diptera, Tephritidae. The transcript is spliced from 4 exons. The record is from RefSeq and is a predicted model, not a curated record.
AGAAAUUCUACAUUUCUGGUUGCUACAAUUCAGAGGCAAGCUUUUCAAAGCAACAAGGAAACAAUUUGCCUGUGGAUGGAAAUGAUGUUUUUAACAUGUUAAAAACUAUUUCCACCCAACUACAAGAAUUGUCUUCAAGAGUUGAUCAUAUGGAAAGGAAGAUGGACAGCUUUUUGAAAGAAAAUAAAUGGCCCAACAAAAAACCGUCCGUAAAUGUAAGGUGCUAAUUCGAAAAGUUCACCAAUCAGUAUGCCGACUGACUGGCGAAGAAAUCGACAACACACAAACAGAAAUUGCUUCCACCCUACCAUUAACAACACUAGCUGCAGCUUUGGAAAUGGAAGAAAAACUUAAAUGCGAAGAAUUUGCUACAGCAACGGUUGAAACAGUUUGUUUUAAGGAUGAAAGGCAGUUCCGAUAGUGUAUGUGAUGUGUUGCGGCAUCUGUACACUGACGAAUUCCUGAUUUUGUGUAACUGGGACGGUAGGGGAGGCAAGCAACCCAUAUCAAAGUUUCUGUUGUCCAACAUAU